UAGCACCGUGCAAGGAGCCCCCUCUACUGAGUUUGCUCUCACUGCUGCUAUUGCUGCUUCCCCUCUGGCUGGCCAAGGAAAAGCUGCUGACCUGGGCAUCCUUUGCAGCUGGUUGUACUGAAGAGAGUCAAGACAUGAGUUACGGCUAUCUUCUGGAUUUUUACCAGAGAAAGGAGCCUUGUCCUGUCUGUCAAAGUGAAAAGAAAAAAUAGUUUGAGCAUCUGUGUCAAGGUUGCAGCAAGAAGAAGUCUCAAUGUAGACCUAAAGACACAGAAGCACAGACUUUCUUCAUCACUAUGCCUGAGAUAGCGCCUGUUGGUCCCCUGAUGUUCUGUUUCCUACAUAGCUGCUGCUUUCAUUUACUUUGGCAAUAUAGUGUG
Rhineura floridana is the source of this 380-nucleotide long non-coding RNA. RefSeq lists it as uncharacterized. The record is from RefSeq and is a predicted model, not a curated record. Lineage: Eukaryota; Metazoa; Chordata; Lepidosauria; Squamata; Rhineuridae. The transcript has 3 exons.